This 241-nucleotide ribosomal RNA is filed under the name uncultured bacterium. RNAcentral's name for it is "partial 16S ribosomal RNA". It matches the Rfam family "Bacterial small subunit ribosomal RNA", at positions 28 to 266 of the family's 1533-position model. The record is from RNAcentral.
GAUGAACGCUAGCGGCAGGCCUAAUACAUGCAAGCUGAACGGCAAGAUUUGUAGCAAUACGAGUCCUAGAGUAGCGUAAGGGUGCGUAACACGUAUGCAAUCUGCCCGCAACAGGAGGAUAGCUUAGCGAAAGUUGAGAUAAGACUCCAUAAGAUCACGAGAGGGCAUCUGAUUGUGAUUAAACUACAAGGGGUUGCGGAUGAGCAUGCGUCUGAUUAGUUAGUUGGCGGGGUAACGGCCC